RNAcentral lists this ribosomal RNA (407 nucleotides) under uncultured bacterium. Its description in RNAcentral is "partial 16S ribosomal RNA". It matches the Rfam family "Bacterial small subunit ribosomal RNA", at positions 30 to 526 of the family's 1533-position model. The record is from RNAcentral.
AUCGAACGCUGGCGGCAGGCCUAACACAUGCAAGUCGAGCGGAGCGGCGAACGGGUGAGUAAUGCCUAGUAAUCUGCACGUUAGUGGCGGAUACCGUCGGGAGACGGGCGCUAUUACAGCAUACUAUCAGAUGAGUCUAGGUCGUAUUAGCUAGUUGGUGGGGUAAAGGCCUACCAAGGCGACGAUGCGUAACUGACCUGAGAGGAUGAUCAGUCACACUGGAACUGAGACACGGUCCAGACUCCUACGGGAGGCAGCAGUGGGGAAUAUUGGACAAUGGGCGAAAGCCUGAUCCAGCAAUGCCGCGUGAGUGAAGAAGGUCUUCGGAUUGUAAAGCUCUUUUGGUAGGGAAGCGGUACCAAAAGAGUAAGCACCGGCUAACUUCGUGCCAGCAGCCGCGGUAAUUC